This is a long non-coding RNA of Puntigrus tetrazona (Sumatra barb), 546 nucleotides long. RefSeq lists it as uncharacterized. NCBI's taxonomy places the organism in Eukaryota, Metazoa, Chordata, Actinopteri, Cypriniformes, Cyprinidae. The transcript is spliced from 3 exons. The record is from RefSeq and is a predicted model, not a curated record.
GCAGGUAAGCACGCGCUUUUUUUUAACAGGUAGAUACCUUAAGACCCGUUGAGUUUUUAAAGCGUUUCUCUCGAUUGUAGUGCAUCAUUUACAUCGUUGUGCCGGUGCGUCGUUAGUGGGAUGUACCUGAAGGUAAUUCUUCCGAGCCGUUGUGUUCAAUCCGUUAAUAAACGUGUGGAGUUAAUGUUGUUACGCGCCGAACAGGCCUGGUUUCCUGUGCCCCACUGCGUGGUCGGAGGGCGCGGUUGACCAACCUGUGCCCAUAGGCAUUUAUUUUUUGCCGUGAUAUUCUCACGGAUCCUCCCUUUUGUCUCGUCCAUAUAGGAACCGCGUGCUUCGGCCAUUCUCUUUAUCCUGGUUACAAGGCUGGGCGGAUGCUGCAGAGCUGGGGUCCCACGGGUGGCUGGAUUUCUCUCCUGGUGGUGGUUCUUCUUGGUGUGCUGUGUAACACUGAGUGUUUAGUUGUGUGAUCUGUGUGCGUGGAAGUGUGCCAUCGUAAAACUGAACUCCUCAGCCCUGCUGGAUGCAUGUGAUUAUUGUAGGGAC